RNAcentral lists this ribosomal RNA (804 nucleotides) under Escherichia coli. RNAcentral describes it as "partial 23S ribosomal RNA". It matches the Rfam family "Bacterial large subunit ribosomal RNA", at positions 636 to 1440 of the family's 2925-position model. The record is from RNAcentral. Lineage: Bacteria; Pseudomonadati; Pseudomonadota; Gammaproteobacteria; Enterobacterales; Enterobacteriaceae.
UGUAGCAAGGUUAACCGAAUAGGGGAGCCGAAGGGAAACCGAGUCUUAACUGGGCGUUAAGUUGCAGGGUAUAGACCCGAAACCCGGUGAUCUAGCCAUGGGCAGGUUGAAGGUUGGGUAACACUAACUGGAGGACCGAACCGACUAAUGUUGAAAAAUUAGCGGAUGACUUGUGGCUGGGGGUGAAAGGCCAAUCAAACCGGGAGAUAGCUGGUUCUCCCCGAAAGCUAUUUAGGUAGCGCCUCGUGAAUUCAUCUCCGGGGGUAGAGCACUGUUUCGGCAAGGGGGUCAUCCCGACUUACCAACCCGAUGCAAACUGCGAAUACCGGAGAAUGUUAUCACGGGAGACACACGGCGGGUGCUAACGUCCGUCGUGAAGAGGGAAACAACCCAGACCGCCAGCUAAGGUCCCAAAGUCAUGGUUAAGUGGGAAACGAUGUGGGAAGGCCCAGACAGCCAGGAUGUUGGCUUAGAAGCAGCCAUCAUUUAAAGAAAGCGUAAUAGCUCACUGGUCGAGUCGGCCUGCGCGGAAGAUGUAACGGGGCUAAACCAUGCACCGAAGCUGCGGCAGCGACACUAUGUGUUGUUGGGUAGGGGAGCGUUCUGUAAGCCUGUGAAGGUGGCCUGUGAGGGUUGCUGGAGGUAUCAGAAGUGCGAAUGCUGACAUAAGUAACGAUAAAGCGGGUGAAAAGCCCGCUCGCCGGAAGACCAAGGGUUCCUGUCCAACGUUAAUCGGGGCAGGGUGAGUCGACCCCUAAGGCGAGGCCGAAAGGCGUAGUCGAUGGGAAACAGGUUAAUAUUCCU